UUGAACGCUGGCGGCAGGCCUAACACAUGCAAGUCGAGCGGAUGAAGGGGGCUUGCUCCUGGAUUCAGCGGCGGACGGGUGAGUAAUGCCUAGGAAUCUGCCUGGUAGUGGGGGAUAACGUCCGGAAACGGGCGCUAAUACCGCAUACGUCCUGAGGGAGAAAGUGGGGGAUCUUCGGACCUCACGCUAUCCGAUGAGCCUAGGUCGGAUUAGCUAGUUGGUGGGGUAAAGGCCUACCAAGGCGACGAUCCGUAACUGGUCUGAGAGGAUGAUCAGUCACACUGGAACUGAGACACGGUCCAGACUCCUACGGGAGGCAGCAGUGGGGAAUAUUGGACAAUGGGCGAAAGCCUGAUCCAGCCAUGCCGCGUGUGUGAAGAAGGUCUUCGGAUUGUAAAGCACUUUAAGUUGGGAGGAAGGGCAGUAAGUUAAUACCUUGCUGUUUUGACGUUACCAACAGAAUAAGCACCGGCUAACUUCGUG
This 483-nucleotide ribosomal RNA is filed under the name uncultured bacterium. RNAcentral describes it as "partial 16S ribosomal RNA". It matches the Rfam family "Bacterial small subunit ribosomal RNA", at positions 30 to 507 of the family's 1533-position model. The record is from RNAcentral.